This 484-nucleotide ribosomal RNA is filed under the name uncultured bacterium. RNAcentral's name for it is "partial 16S ribosomal RNA". It matches the Rfam family "Bacterial small subunit ribosomal RNA", at positions 30 to 507 of the family's 1533-position model. The record is from RNAcentral.
AUUGAACGCUGGCGGCAGGCCUAACACAUGCAAGUCGAGCGGAUGAGGGGAGCUUGCUCCUGGAUUCAGCGGCGGACGGGUGAGUAAUGCCUAGGAAUCUGCCUGGUAGUGGGGGAUAACGUCCGGAAACGGGCGCUAAUACCGCAUACGUCCUGAGGGAGAAAGUGGGGGAUCUUCGGACCUCACGCUAUCAGAUGAGCCUAGGUCGGAUUAGCUAGUUGGUGGGGUAAAGGCCUACCAAGGCGACGAUCCGUAACUGGUCUGAGAGGAUGAUCAGUCACACUGGAACUGAGACACGGUCCAGACUCCUACGGGAGGCAGCAGUGGGGAAUAUUGGACAAUGGGCGAAAGCCUGAUCCAGCCAUGCCGCGUGCGUGAAGAAGGUCUUCGGAUUGUAAAGCACUUUAAGUUGGGAGGAAGGGCAGUAAGUUAAUACCUUGCUGUUUUGACGUUACCAACAGAAUAAGCACCGGCUAACUUCGUG